RNAcentral lists this non-coding RNA (160 nucleotides) under Streptomyces sparsogenes. The record is from RNAcentral. Lineage: Bacteria; Bacillati; Actinomycetota; Actinomycetes; Kitasatosporales; Streptomycetaceae.
UAUGCUCCCCGGAGGGCCGGUCCCGGUCCGCCAUCACACAAGACGGCACAAGGGUAGGAAGCCGGUGGAAAUCCGGCGCGGUCCCGCCACUGUGAGCGCGGCAGCCGGUGACGCGGCGGCAGCGCGAGCCAGGAACUCCCGCCGUCUUCAACCCGCCCGG